GCGAAAGCCUGAUCCAGCCAUGCCGCGUGUGUGAAGAAGGUCUUCUGGAUUGUAAAGCACUUUAAGUUGGGAGGAAGGGCAUUAACCUAAUACGUUGGUGUCUUGACGUUACCGACAGAGUAAGCACCGGCUAACUCUGUGCCAGCAGCCGCGAUAAUAAGA
This 162-nucleotide ribosomal RNA is filed under the name uncultured bacterium. RNAcentral's name for it is "partial 16S ribosomal RNA". It matches the Rfam family "Bacterial small subunit ribosomal RNA", at positions 375 to 529 of the family's 1533-position model. The record is from RNAcentral.